This 327-nucleotide unclassified non-coding RNA is filed under the name soil metagenome. RNAcentral's name for it is "partial contains 5.8S ribosomal RNA, internal transcribed spacer 2, and large subunit ribosomal RNA". The stretch from base 1 to 120 matches the Rfam family "5.8S ribosomal RNA", at positions 35 to 154 of the family's 154-position model. The record is from RNAcentral.
GAUGAAGAACGCAGCGAAAUGCGAUAAGUAAUGUGAAUUGCAGAAUUCAGUGAAUCAUCGAAUCUUUGAACGCACAUUGCGCCCUUUGGUAUUCCGAAGGGCAUGUCUGUUCGAGCGUCAUUUCACCACUCAAGCCUGGCUUGGUAUUGGGCGCCGCGGUCGAUCCGCGCGCCUCAAAGUCUCCGGCUGAGCUGUCCGUCUCUAAGCGUUGUGAUUUCAUUAAUCGCUUCGGAGUGCGGGCGGCCGCGGCCGUUAAAUCUUUCACAAGGUUGACCUCGGAUCAGGUAGGGAUACCCGCUGAACUUAAGCAUAUCAAUAAGCGGAGGA